CCCCAAAACUGCUGGCCUUCCCGGACAUUACGAUGCCUAGGAUCUUGCAGCGCCCAACGUAGGCUUACACCCACUGAUCGGAUAUUCCCUACGUCUUUGGCGUGAAAAAUCCCCACCGGCCACCCCGACAGAUCCUCCAGCUCGUAGGCGUUAUUCCCUACUGGACGUACGACUCUGCAUUUUAGGAAUUUCCGGGCGAACUUGGCGUUGUAGCUUUUGCCAAAGUCGCUGAGGGUGAAGUUGCGCCUGUAGACUUCUUGGCCAGGUCUGGCGAAAAAGACUCGGGCCCGUUUGUUGUAUCGCUGGCUGCUCCGCUCAUACGCUUGGUGUAGGCUGCGUUUAAUUUGCUCGCGAAUGAGGUGUCGCUUAUCCGCGGGAUCUAACGCGUGCACUUCAUGUUCCGUCAAAGACUGCAGCUUCCUCGCCAGCUUAUAGCAGUUCCCAUUCAGAAACAUCUGUUGUCCAAAUACAGCGAAAAACGGCGUUACGCCUCGGGCUUCGUGCACCGAGUCACGGAUUGAAACUUCGAUCUCCGCGAGUAUCGUCCGAUUUACUCUCUCGGCUGCAUUGCUUUGCGGCGAGUAGACUGCUGUGCGCAUGUGUCGUAUCCCGAAGCCGCUGACCAUGUCCAUGAACGCCUUCGAUAGGAACUGCUUUCCGUUGUCGGAGUGGAUCACCUCUGGCACCCCGAAUUUGUAGAAUACCUCUUGCACCAGGAAUUGAACGACGUUCGCAGCGGUCGCCUCUCUCAUCGCCUUCAAGAAGCUUGGAAGAAAAGAAUGCCACUAGGCGCUCUGCUUUGUCAUCAUCCAGCUGAAAAAGCACUGCUCCCACUCCAAAAUUUGAGUCGUCGCACUGGAUGUAGAAAUGGCGUUUAAAGUCGGCAUGGACUAAUACAGGAGCCGUGGUGAGAGCCUUCUUCAGGGAUUCUAUGGUCGCCCUCGCUUCCGUUGGCAAGAAAAACUUCCCGCGCGGAUGCUUCUUCAGAGCAUCUGUUAACGGUACCGCGAUGGUGGCGAAGUCCUUGAUGAAGCGCCUAUACCAUCCUGCGGUUCCUAUGAAGCUCCGUAGCUCCUUCACUGAACUCGGGCUCGGGAUCUUUUGUAUAGCCACAACCCUAUCGGGAUCCAUUUGCAGCGUGCCGCCUCCGAUGAUAAACCCCAGGUAUUUCAGCGACUUAAAGCAGAAUUUGGAUUUUUGUAGACCUAUCGUGGUGGCACUGGGCCACCAAUCGCAGAUAUCGCAGAUGCGUCUGGAAAUCCGGGGCUCUCACCAAAAGAUCGUCCAAAUAAACGAAAACGUUUGAUCUGAGCUGAGUCGGGAUUACCUUAUCCAUCACUCUGCAUAACCUCUGGGCAGCGUUACACAGACCGAAGGGCAUCAUCACGAAUUGAUACAGCGGACGGCCUGCAACGGUAAAUGCGGUGCACUUCCGGCUUUCUGGGUCCAAUUUAAUUUGCCAGAAUGCGAAUUUGAGGUCGAUGCUGGAAAUGUAAUAUGUCUGGUCAAUCCUGGAUAGUAUACCCUCGAUGCUAGGAAGAGGGUAAGCAUCUUUUACGGUGAGCUGAUUCAGUUUCCGCGCGUCCAAACAGAAUCUAUUUUUGUUUGGCUUUCGCACCACCGUCGUCCGAUUGCUCCAUGGACUAUCGCUGACCUCGAUCACUCCUAGUUCCAGCAUUUUAUCCAUCUCGGUCCAGAUCACCUCCUGCAUCGCUGGGGAUUGAGGGUAAUGCCGAUCUUUAAAUGGUUCUGCGCCCUCGAUCAACUGGAUCCGAUGCUGUUCUACCGUCGUUGUUCCUAAUGCGGCAUCCUCAUAGGUCAGAAACUCCUUCUUUACCUUCUCCAGCUCUUCGGGUUCCGUGUCUUCCAGGGUCCAAGCUUCCACAUCCACGUCCUCCUGGCGAUGUUCGACGUACUGGCUGAUUUGUGACAUUUGGAUCUCGCCUACUUGGGCCUCGCUGGAUCGCCUGGGCUUUUCUCCGAGGACUGUGGGAGCCAGCGCGAAGGAUCUCCAGAAAUCAAUACCCAGAGUUUGGUUUUGCCGACUAUGGACCUGUCUUCUCCAGAGGCUGUCUUGAUGAUCGAGACAUAAUUGUCCAUUUCCACCUCGAGGUCGGCAAGGAGUUCACGGCUGCCCUUUCCUAAGACACUAACGGAUGCCCCAGUAUCUAGGAGUCCAGCAAUCCGAAGUCCUCUUAUCUGCACUUCGACAAAUACUCUGGGAUCGCGUCCUGCUCCUCGUCUGACUGCCUCGGCCACCUCUUUGCGAGUCUGUCGCCUUUCCUUAAAUCUGGAACGGGCCUUUUGGAGUCUACGACUGACACCGCGCAUCCCCUCCAGCUGCCUGUCAUCAAAGAUCUGGUUUCGAAUUUGUAUGUAUCUCCUCAUCCUCUCUUCGGCCGUGGACCAUCGUUCAUUUCUUCGCGGGCUUCUGUCCCGAGCGCUGAUCUCCCGCUUUCAUCAUGCCCGAUCGUGCGUUUCCCGAGCAAUUUGGACACGUUGGAGUAAACAUUUCUGGCUUUCCGCAGCGGUAACAAAAUAUUUUGCGUUCCUUCGCCACGCAGUCUCGGAACCCGUGGUCGAACUGGCCGCAAUUCCAGCAACACAGCCUGAGUUUGUUCGCCAGCUCCUCCACUCGCUUCCCGGCUGAAUGGAAUUUCGGCGCAGGACGGAACGUAGACUUCUGCUCGCGUCCGCGAAAGUGGUACUCCACUUCCAGGCACUCUUCCCUCAGCUGCUCCACGUUUCGGACUCGGAUCGCGUAAACGUAGCGCACUCGCACCAUUUCGGACUCAACCAAAGAUUCGCCAGAUUGUUGUCGUCGCUCAUGCAAGGUGCGUAGCCGCUCGAACUCGCCACCCACUGCUCGGAACCGGGACACCAACUCGUCCUUCAAAUCCUCCCAUACUUCCGGAGGCCGUUCUCGGACAAAUUGCCAAUACCACUCCGCCGCUUGUCCUUUGACGAGAUGGUGAAAGUCGUCAAGGACCUCGUCCCACGACCGUCGGUUCUGCCUACGGAGGAACUCGACCCUGAACACGAAGUCCUGCACCGUCAUCUUAUUUGGGUCUCCGUCGAAGUGGAUUUCCCAUUUGUCGACGCGUCCCCAUCUCGCUCCUCUCCAAUCAUCUCUCCUUUCAAAUGGUGGCAGAUCUGUUGGACCUCCGCCGUCUCCUGAUGUCUCCCGUCUCUGCCUUCCAGCACCUGGAUCCAGGUCCGCUUCGCCUAUUCCUCGGCGCCAGUUCUGGCUCAACCUCGCUGGCUUCCUUGGAGGCGACUGGGAAUUCCAUACGUCAUCGUCCUUGGACCUUUUGGGAAUGGUCCCUGUGUUCGGCUUCUGCCUGAGGUCUUGGAUCAAUUCCACGUUCUGGCGCAGAGGCGCCAUCACCUCUGUUAUGGCCCCCAUGAGCUCCAUAAAGCCGCGACGGAUCUCCUCCUGCAGCGUCUUACUCAGGGUAUCUGCCAUGCUGCCUCUCCACGUCUCCUGUGCUUGCGCUAUGGCGACAUUUACUCCUGAGAGAAUCUCGGAGGGCAGUGCGUUGGAUUGGCCUGGCAAAUUCCAGCUGUCGUCUCCACGCCCCUCAGCGCCCUGUGUGUCACCGCCUUGCAUCUGUCCUUGGAGGUUACCUGGUGGAGGAGUCCUGCGGGUCAUUUUCUGUUUAGACCGCAAGUUAACAAUCGCCUAAACACUACCUAUAACGCUAGCUCACUGAUCUUCAGCACAAAAACACUUAAUACGGCAAAACAAUAAUAAGGGGGAAGAGGAACCACAGCAACGAGAGGGUAAGGCUGCUGCACAUGGCAGGGAGAUCCAAAACGUUGUUAUUCAGAUCUCAGGUAGGGAGGGUACGUCAGGGGUAAAACAUCGACACCUCGACCUGGUCCACGUCUGUGUUGAAGGAAGUUACUGUAAUGUUGUUUGUCAAGUAGAGUCCGUUUGCAGUUUUUUUUGUCGGUUACUUUUGUUGUUUCAAUUUGUUCGAGAUGUCCAAUUAGUUGGUAUAUUGUGCGACCUGAGGGCUUGGGAAGUACCCAGCCCUGGGAUGACUGGCUAGCCGGCCUUGCCCCGAAGAAAACAAAGGUUCGUAACAACGUGAAGCCCCCGAGUACGGAUCAGGGAUGCUGACCAAUGCCUUGCGCGGCUAUCCUUUGGUGGGCGAGCGGAUGAAAGUACCGGAAGGUUACAAGGGCCUAGUCCUGCAGGAGACGGAGAAGCCUUUGAGCGAGUCUGCUGACCGUCAAUUGCGCCUCACCGGUGUUUUUGACGAGUUCACCUACUGGAACUACGAUAAAGUCCCCUCAAACGGCGAUCCCUUCAGACAAGCCAUGCUUAUGGCAGAUAUGGCCAAGGCGCUGUCCGAACCCAUAAGCGAUUUGGAGAUUUGGAGGCAGAAAUUAGACGAAACCUGGAAAGCUAAAAGGAAAACGAUUCCUAGCUCUUUAGCGUGCUUACAGCGUUUAUUAUAUAAUAUUCUAAAAGCUAAUCAAAUAUAAUCUUAACAUUUCAUACUUUUUAGUCUUAAAUUUAUAUAAGAUUUCAAAUAUAAAUACGUUUAGUAUCA
This is an RNA transcript of Drosophila miranda, 4562 nucleotides long. RefSeq lists it as uncharacterized. The record is from RefSeq and is a predicted model, not a curated record. The transcript has 11 exons. NCBI's taxonomy places the organism in Eukaryota, Metazoa, Arthropoda, Insecta, Diptera, Drosophilidae.